This is a long non-coding RNA of Xenia sp. Carnegie-2017, 422 nucleotides long. RefSeq lists it as uncharacterized. The transcript has 4 exons. Lineage: Eukaryota; Metazoa; Cnidaria; Anthozoa; Malacalcyonacea; Xeniidae. The record is from RefSeq and is a predicted model, not a curated record.
AAAGAGAAGAAGAAGAGUCAUGCUUUGAUGUCAAAGAAAAUGGAACUAGCCAGUUGAAGAGAGAACACAAUGGCCAAUAUGCUGAAGAAUUUGCAGCUGAAAGCAGAUGAAAGAAGAACUUAUCUCCAACAACAAAACAGACAAUUGUUGCUAGAAAUGGAAUCAAGGCUUCAAAGUCGUUCAAACUGACGAGAGACGCUGAAAACGUUGAUGAUGCUGAGGAAGAAGUUUUUCCAACUGAUGAUCUAAUAAAAAGACUUAACUCUGCUGUAUCAGAAACAAAUACAAUGCAAGAAAUGUUAUCCCUGAAAGGAAUAAACCCAAAGCACCAUUUCCUAUCUUUGGCAUAUCGAUGGAGGAAUUAAGCAAAACAAUUUUCAUUGCAGGUGAAAUCAACAUUUUUGAAAGUUUCAGAAAUUAUC